This 253-nucleotide ribosomal RNA is filed under the name uncultured bacterium. Its description in RNAcentral is "partial 16S ribosomal RNA". It matches the Rfam family "Bacterial small subunit ribosomal RNA", at positions 524 to 776 of the family's 1533-position model. The record is from RNAcentral.
UACGGGGGGGGCAAGCGUUGUUCGGAAUUACUGGGCGUAAAGGGUUUGUAGGUGGCUCGCUAAGUCAGACGUGAAAUCCCUCAGCUUAACUGGGGAACUGCGUCUGAAACUGAUGAGCUUGAGUGCAGGAGAGGAACGCGGAAUUCCAGGUGUAGCGGUGAAAUGCGUAGAUAUGUGGAGGAAUACCGAUGGCGAAGGCAGCCUCCUGGGCCAACACUGACGCUCAUGCACGAAAGCGUGGGGAGCAAACAGG